RNAcentral lists this ribosomal RNA (497 nucleotides) under uncultured bacterium. RNAcentral's name for it is "partial 16S ribosomal RNA". It matches the Rfam family "Bacterial small subunit ribosomal RNA", at positions 28 to 507 of the family's 1533-position model. The record is from RNAcentral.
GAUGAACGCUGGCGGCGUGCCUAAUACAUGCAAGUCGAGCGAACGGACGAGAAGCUUGCUUCUCUGAUGUUAGCGGCGGACGGGUGAGUAACACGUGGAUAACCUACCUAUAAGACUGGGAUAACUUCGGGAAACCGGAGCUAAUACCGGAUAAUAUUUUGAACCGCAUGGUUCAAACGUGAAAGACGGUCUUGCGGUCACUUAUAGAUGGAUCCGCGCUGCAUUAGCUAGUUGGUAAGGUAACGGCUUACCAAGGCAACGAUGCAGAGACGACCUGAGAGGGUGAUCGGCCACACUGGAACUGAGACACGGCCCAGACUCCUACGGGAGGCAGCAGUAGGGAAUCUUCCGCAAGGGGCGAAAGCCUGACGGAGCAACGCCGCGUGAGUGAUGAAGGUCUUCGGAUCGUAAAACUCUGUUAUUAGGGAAGAACAUAUGUGUAAUUAACUGUGCACAUCUUGACGGUACCUAAUCAGAAAGCCACGGCUAACUACGUG